UACGGAAGGCAGCAGUGGGGAAUAUUGCACAAUGGGCGCAAGCCUGAUGCAGCCAUGCCGCGUGUAUGAAGAAGGCCUUCGGGUUGUAAAGUACUUUCAGUCGUGAGGAAGGUGUUAAGGUUAAUAACCUUAGCAAUUGACGUUAGCGACAGAAGAAGCACCGGCUAACUCCGUGCCAGCAGCCGCGGUAAUACGGAGGGUGCGAGCGUUAAUCGGAAUUACUGGGCGUAAAGGGCACGCAGGCGGUUAAUUAAGUUGGAUGUGAAAUCCCCGGGCUUAACCUGGGAAUGGCAUUCAAGACUGGUUAGCUAGAGUCUUGUAGAGGGGGUAGAAUUCCAUGUGUAGCGGUGAAAUGCGUAGAGAUGUGGAGGAAUACCGGUGGCGAAGGCGGCCCCCUGGACAAAGGACUGACGCUCAUGUGCGAAAGCGUGGGGAGCAAACAGGGAUUAGAUACC
RNAcentral lists this ribosomal RNA (455 nucleotides) under uncultured bacterium. Its description in RNAcentral is "bacterial SSU rRNA". It matches the Rfam family "Bacterial small subunit ribosomal RNA", at positions 340 to 786 of the family's 1533-position model. The record is from RNAcentral.